AAUAUUGCGUAAUGGAGGGAACUCUGACGCAGCGACCCCGCGUCAGCUAUGAAGGUCUUCGGAUCGUAAAGCUCUGCCCCGGGGGAAGAAGGUCUCCGCACGUGACGGUACCUACGGAGGAAGCCCCGGCUAACUACGCGUCAGCAGCCGCGGCAAUUCGUAGGGGGCAAGCGUUGUCCGGAAUUAUUGGGCGUAAAGUGUGCGUAGGCGGCCUUUUAAGUCAGAUGUGGAAGCCAACGGCUUAACCGUGGGACUGCAUUUGAAACUGGAGGGCUUGAGUAUCGGAGAGGGUAGUGGAAUUCCCAGUGUAGCGGUGGAAUGCGUAGAUAUUGGGAGGAACACCAGUGGCGAAGGCAACUACCUGGACGAAAACUGACGCUGAGGCACGAAAGCUAGGGGAGCAAGCA
Molecule: ribosomal RNA, 407 nt
Filed under: uncultured bacterium
Lineage: Bacteria
Description: partial 16S ribosomal RNA
Rfam family: Bacterial small subunit ribosomal RNA
Source: RNAcentral